AUUACCGAGUUUACAACUCCCAAACCCAAUGUGAACGUUACCAAACUGUUGCCUCGGCGGGAUCUCUGCCCCGGGUGCGUCGCAGCCCCGGACCAAGGCGCCCGCCGGAGGACCAACCAAAAACUCUUUUGUAUACCCCCUCGCGGGUUUUUUAUAUCUGAGCCAUCUCGGCGCCUCUCGUAGGCGUUUCGAAAAUGAAUCAAAACUUUCAACAACGGAUCUCUUGGUUCUGGCAUCGAUGAAGAACGCAGCGAAAUGCGAUAAGUAAUGUGAAUUGCAGAAUUCAGUGAAUCAUCGAAUCUUUGAACGCACAUUGCGCCCGCCAGUAUUCUGGCGGGCAUGCCUGUCCGAGCGUCAUUUCAACCCUCGAACCCCUCCGGGGGGUCGGCGUUGGGGAUCGGCCCUUUACGGGGCCGGCCCCGAAAUACAGUGGCGGUCUCGCCGCAGCCUCUCCUGCGCAGUAGUUUGCACACUCGCAUCGGGAGCGCGGCGCGUCCAUUGCCGUAAAACACCCAACUUUCUGAAAUGUUGACCUCGGAUCAGGUAGGAAUACCCGCUGAACUUAAGCAU
This 570-nucleotide ribosomal RNA is filed under the name Trichoderma spirale. Its description in RNAcentral is "eukaryotic LSU rRNA". The stretch from base 204 to 357 matches the Rfam family "5.8S ribosomal RNA". The record is from RNAcentral. Lineage: Eukaryota; Fungi; Ascomycota; Sordariomycetes; Hypocreales; Hypocreaceae.